This 301-nucleotide ribosomal RNA is filed under the name uncultured bacterium. Its description in RNAcentral is "partial 16S ribosomal RNA". It matches the Rfam family "Bacterial small subunit ribosomal RNA", at positions 509 to 807 of the family's 1533-position model. The record is from RNAcentral.
CAGCCGCCGCGGGAAUACGAAGGGGGCUAGCGUUGCUCGGAAUUACUGGGCGUAAAGCGCACGUAGGCGGAUUUUUAAGUCAGGGGUGAAAUCCCGAGGCUCAACCUCGGAACUGCCUUUGAUACUGGAGAUCUUGAGUUCGGAAGAGGUUGGUGGAACAGCUAGUGUAGAGGUGAAAUUCGUAGAUAUUAGCUAGAACACCAGUGGCGAAGGCGGCGAUCUGGGAAGAUACCGACGCUGAGGUACGAAAGCGUGGGGAGCAAACAGGAUUAGAUACCCCUGUAGUCCCUGUCUCUUAUAC